RNAcentral lists this ribosomal RNA (537 nucleotides) under Hyalopeziza leuconica. Its description in RNAcentral is "eukaryotic LSU rRNA". The stretch from base 192 to 345 matches the Rfam family "5.8S ribosomal RNA". The record is from RNAcentral. Lineage: Eukaryota; Fungi; Ascomycota; Leotiomycetes; Helotiales; Hyaloscyphaceae.
GGGGUGCGGAAGGAUCAUUAAAGAACGUUAGCGGGUCCUCUUUUGAAUUGAACGGGAUGUCUGAACCCUUGAAUAUAAAACCUCGUUGCUUUGGCGAGCCGCCUUCGAGGCAUUGGCAUUGGCUGAUUGUGCUUGCCAGAGGACAAAUACUCUUGCAUCUUAGUGACGUCUGAGUAUUAUAAAAUAGUUAAAACUUUCAACAACGGAUCUCUUGGUUCUGGCAUCGAUGAAGAACGCAGCGAAAUGCGAUAAGUAAUGUGAAUUGCAGAAUUCAGUGAAUCAUCGAAUCUUUGAACGCACAUUGCGCCCCUUGGUAUUCCGAGGGGCAUGCCUGUUCGAGCGUCAUAUAAACACAUCCCUCACGGGGUCUUGGGUUCCGCCUCUCGGCGGUCCCUAAAGUCAGUGGCAGUGCCAUCUGGCUCUAAGCGUAGUAAUUCUCCUCGCUAUAGUGUCCUGGUGAUUGCUCGCCAACAACUCCCAACUAUCUACGUUUGACCUCGGAUCAGGUAGGGAUACCCGCUGAACUUAAGCAUAUCA